This 683-nucleotide long non-coding RNA is filed under the name Gossypium barbadense (sea-island cotton). RNAcentral describes it as "long non-coding RNA (GBAR_LNC006207)". Lineage: Eukaryota; Viridiplantae; Streptophyta; Magnoliopsida; Malvales; Malvaceae. The record is from RNAcentral.
UUCUAUUUCCCAUUUGUUUGUCGAUUCCACUUCCUACGAUACAUCUUCUUCUCUCACCAUUUGAUCCCCAGUUCUUUUUUUAUUUUCAUUUGUUUUUUCCACCAGGCCUCUUUCUUUUAUAUGAAUUGGAAAUAUAUCAUUGCCAACCUUCAGCAUUAUCGCUUUAUCAAGUUUAUGUGCUUGCUUUAUUAAGAUCAAAAUAUCCAUCUUCUCAAAGUUGUUUACCAUUGUCAGAUUUUCACCCAUUGCAAUUAUCUCUCCCUAUAAACCUACCACUCUCUUAAACGUUUGGUAGUUCCAACAAUAAAGUGGAAUCCCUGAAACUUCGAUCCAAGCUGCCCUUUCCAUAACUUUAAAUUUUUCCGACCAUGGCUCUAUAUUGAUGAAAAAUUCUUUUAGGUAUGUACAGCCCAUUUGCCCAAGCCCAAUCACAACCCAAUCGGCCCAAAAGAACCCAUACCAGCAGACCCACCAACUCCGCCGUUCACCUGCUUUCUGGCACCACCGACUCACCUGCUCCAACUGCUCCGCCAGUACCUGCAACAAACACCAACAAGCAAUUUUUGGUAGUUUUUUUGGCUAUAUAAGGCCGAUUGAAAAAUGAACGAAGGGCUUUUUUUUUCGAUUUGUAACCAAGAAAAAUUCUAACAGAAUAAUAAAAUAUCAAGAUUCAAGGUGAUUCC